RNAcentral lists this transfer RNA (80 nucleotides) under Caudoviricetes sp. RNAcentral describes it as "tRNA-OTHER". It matches the Rfam family "tRNA". Rfam says of the family: Transfer RNA (tRNA) molecules are approximately 80 nucleotides in length. Their secondary structure includes four short double-helical elements and three loops (D, anti-codon, and T loops). The record is from RNAcentral. Lineage: Duplodnaviria; Heunggongvirae; Uroviricota; Caudoviricetes.
GCUGUAGUAGCUCAAGGGGUGGACUUUCCAUCUAUGGCGAGAGCAAUCCUUGAUAUGGGUUCGAGCCCCAUCUACAGCGA